UCUGUAAAGAAGCAAACACGGAAAUUCACAGCAGCACGAAACAUGCACUCAAAGCUAUGUUGGCAUUUGCCAUAUUUGGAACGAUACUAGCCAGUUUAGAAAUGAUAAAUUUCUUUCUUGGUUCGUGCAAGCAAAAGAUUAUGCAUCCAGUGUUUUUGUCUAUUAUUGUUUGUCUCUUCGAAGAGUUGCCAUUAGCUGGUCUUCGCUAGAAUCUUAAAACGUCGGCUAACAAUGAAAUGGUAGAUAUUUGGAGCAUUGUGUCCAGCAUUGGGACCAUGACAGCCCCUUUGCUUGGUCCUAUCUAUAAGUGUUAUAAAAUGACAGAUUGCUGCAACUCCUUUGACAGUGAUGAGGACGACGAAACUCGCAACCUCGUACCCAGGGAAACUUGCUGUGACGAGCUGUGCUCUGGGGAAAGCAGGGGGUUCGGUGCGACUUGCCUCGUCUUGAUGGUUGGUGUUGUUGUAAUUAUCAACAUUCUCAACUGGGCAGAUGUUGAAGCCCCUGGUGCUGAAUUGUGCGUCCAAGCAGUCCAAGAGUAAAUGCUUCUUCGUGGACGUUGGAGUAUAGUAUAUCAUGGCGUCAGUGAGUUUCUCUUUCCCGAGGCGGACUUCUUCAAAACAAAAUCUUUUGAGCGUUACCGACCCUCAUCAUUCUAACGAAGGUGAGUCGGUGACAACACAUCCUGGUUGGAAGUACUCUAUUCCAAGGAUCGUUUUGUCAGUUGCGCUCGUAGCUUAUGGUAUUUUUGAUUGCGUUAGCGAUUGGAAGCUAUAUUGUGAAAGAGAUAGUCAGAUUGAAGACAUCUGUAAAGAAGCAAGCACGGAAAUUCAUAGCAGCACGAAACAUGCACUCAAAGCUAUGUUGGCAUUUGCCAUAUUUGGAACAAUACUAAUCAGUUUAGAAACGAUAAAUUUCUUCCUAGGUUUGUGCAAGCAAAAGAUUAUGCAUCCAGUGUUUCUGUCUAUUAUUGUUUGUCUCUUCGAAGAGUUGCCAUUAGCUGUUCUUCGCUGGAAUCUCAAAACGUCGGCUAACAAUAAAAUGGCAGAUGGUUGGGGUAUUGCGUCCAGCAUUGGGGGUAUGACAGCCCCUUUGCUUGGUCCUAUCUAUAAAUGUUGUAAAAUGUCUGAUUGCUGCAAGUCCAAGUCCUCUUGCUGUUCUGGUGAGAAAGACGAAACUUGCUGUGACGAUCUGUGCUCUGGAACAAGCGGGUGGUUCGGUGUGACUUUUCUCGUCUUGAUGGUCUUGGUUGUUGUAACUAUCAACAUUCUCAACUGGGCAAAUUUUGAAGCCCCUGGUGCUGAAUUGUGCGUCCAAGAGUAAAUGCUUCUUCGUAGCCAUUAGAGUAUAUGUAUAGUUUAUACAUCUUCAAAAUCAUAAAAUGGAUUAAUCAUUCGAAUAGAAAUCUUUCAUAGUCUUGUCAGUGAACUUAAGAUAAAAAAUUCAGUAGAACAAUACGUAAUUGCAUAUAGCUACAAAUAGACUAUUCUUAUCUUUGUCAUCUAUUUUAAUGUUAGUAGAAUACAGUUUCGAUUCGGAAAUACAAUACUGAAA
Molecule: unclassified non-coding RNA, 1554 nt
Filed under: Dendronephthya gigantea
Lineage: Eukaryota; Metazoa; Cnidaria; Anthozoa; Malacalcyonacea; Nephtheidae
Description: uncharacterized LOC114522882, transcript variant X3
Source: RNAcentral